AACGAACGCUGGCGGCAUGCCUAACACAUGCAAGUCGAACGAGAACUUCGGGUCUAGUGGCGCACGGGGGCGUAACGCGGGGGAACCUGCCCUUAGGUUCGGAAUAACUCCCCGAAAGGGGUGCUAAUACCGGAGAAUGUCUUCGGACCAAAGAUUUAUCGCCUUUGGAUGGGGCCGGGUUGGAUUAGCUAGUUGGUAGGGUAAAAGCCGACCAAGGCGACGAUCCAUAGCUGGUCUGAGAGGAUGCUCCGCCACGCUGGGACUGAGACACGGCCCACACUCCUACGGGAGGCAGCAGUGUGGAAUAUUGUACAAUGGGCGAAAGCCUGAUCCAGCCAUGCCGCGUGAGUGAUGAAUGCCUUAGUGUUGUAAAUCUCUUUUACCCGGGAUGAUAAUGACAGUACCGGGAGAAUAAGCUCCGGCUAACUCCGUG
Molecule: ribosomal RNA, 433 nt
Filed under: uncultured bacterium
Lineage: Bacteria
Description: partial 16S ribosomal RNA
Rfam family: Bacterial small subunit ribosomal RNA
Source: RNAcentral